Molecule: ribosomal RNA, 884 nt
Filed under: uncultured Eubacteriales bacterium
Lineage: Bacteria; Bacillati; Bacillota; Clostridia; Eubacteriales
Description: bacterial SSU rRNA
Rfam family: Bacterial small subunit ribosomal RNA
Source: RNAcentral
AGAGUUGAUCCUGGCUCAGGAUAAACGCUGGCGGCGCACAUAAGACAUGCAAGUCGAACGGAAGCGUUUUAGUGAUUCAGAUAUGAAAGAUUUAUCCGGAUUUGAAGAUGAUCUAAAACAAUGGUUUAGUGGCGGACUGGUGAGUAACACGUAAGCAACCUGCCUGUUAGAGGGGAAUAACAGCAGAAAUCGUUGCUAAUACCGCAUAUGCCAUAGGAACCACAUGGUUCUAGUGGGAAAGGAGAAUCCGCUAACAGAUGGGCUUGCGUCUGAUUAGAUAGUUGGUGGGGUAACGGCCUACCAAUCGACGAUCAGUAGCCGGACUGAGAGGUUCAACGGCCACAUUGGGACUGAGAUACGGCCCGACUCCUACGGGAGGCAGCAGUCGGGAAUAUUGCGCAAUGGAGGAAACUCUGACGCAGUGCGCCGCGUAUAGGAAGAAGGUUUUCGGAUUGUAAACUAUUGUCUGCAGGGAAGAAACAAGCUGUACCUGCAAAGAAAGCUCCGGCUAACUACGUGCCAGCAGCCGCGGUAAUACGUAGGGGCAAGCGUUAUCCGGAUUUAUUGGGUGUAAAGGGUGCGUAGACGGGAAAUUAAGUUAGUUUGAAAUCCCUCGGCUCAACCGAGGAACUGCAACUAAAACUGAUUUUCUUGAGUGCAGGAGGGAAAGUGGAAUUCCUAGUGUAGCGGUGAAAUGCGUAGAUAUUAGGAGGAACACCAGUGGGAAGGCGACUUUCUGGACUGUAACUGACGUUGAGGCACGAAAGUGUGGGGAGCAAACAGGUUAGAUACCCUGGUAGUCCACACUGUAAACGAUGGAUACUAGGUGUAGGGGGUAUUAAGCUUCUGUGCCGCCGCUAACGCAAUAGUAUCCCACCUGGGGA